Molecule: unclassified non-coding RNA, 348 nt
Filed under: soil metagenome
Description: partial contains 5.8S ribosomal RNA, internal transcribed spacer 2, and large subunit ribosomal RNA
Rfam family: 5.8S ribosomal RNA (bases 1-120)
Source: RNAcentral
GAUGAAGAACGCAGCGAAAUGCGAUAAGUAAUGUGAAUUGCAGAAUUCAGUGAAUCAUCGAGUCUUUGAACGCACAUUGCGCCCCCUGGUAUUCCGGGGGGCAUGCCUGUCCGCGCGUCAUUGCUGCCCUCAAGCACGGCUUGUGUGUUGGGCCCCCGUCCCCGGUUUCCCCCGGGGACGGGCCCGAAAGGCAGCGGCGGCACCGCGUCCGGUCCUCGAGCGUAUGGGGCUUUGUCACCCGCUCUGUAGGCCCGGCCGGCGCCAGCCGACACCCAACUUUAUUUCUAAGGUUGACCUCGGAUCAGGUAGGGAUACCCGCUGAACUUAAGCAUAUCAAUAAGCGGAGGA